CAGAUUCUUUGUGGAAAAGACUGUCUCUUGUGAACUUCAGUCUAUUAUUAGACUAUUCCAGAGCAAUGUCAGGUUUUAAGGUUUGAACUUCAACAAACGACAACUUAACCUAGAAAUUCGGAUAUGGUGAUCAUGGAUGGUAAGUGUUUUUUAAGCCCAAUACAAUUAUAGAAACAAUUUUAUCCAU
This 187-nucleotide long non-coding RNA is filed under the name Callithrix jacchus (white-tufted-ear marmoset). RNAcentral describes it as "lncRNA (ENSCJAG00000086902.1)". Lineage: Eukaryota; Metazoa; Chordata; Mammalia; Primates; Cebidae. The record is from RNAcentral.